RNAcentral lists this ribosomal RNA (454 nucleotides) under uncultured bacterium. RNAcentral's name for it is "partial 16S ribosomal RNA". It matches the Rfam family "Bacterial small subunit ribosomal RNA", at positions 341 to 792 of the family's 1533-position model. The record is from RNAcentral.
ACGGAAGGCAGCAGUGAGGAAUAUUGGUCAAUGGGCGAGAGCCUGAACCAGCCAAGUAGCGUGAAGGAAGACUGCCCUAUGGGUUGUAAACUUCUUUUGUGCGGGGGUAAAGUGGUCCACGCGUGGUCCAUUGCAAGUACCGUACGAAUAAGCAUCGGCUAACUCCGUGCCAGCAGCCGCGGUAAUACGGAGGAUGCGAGCGUUAUCCGGAUUUAUUGGGUUUAAAGGGUGCGCAGGCGGCACGUUAAGUCAGCGGUGAAAUGCAGGGGCUCAACCCCGGCACUGCCGUUGAAACUGGCGAGCUCGAGUACGGAUGAAGUCGGCGGAAUGUGAUGUGUAGCGGUGAAAUGCUUAGAUAUGUCACAGAACACCGAUUGCGAAGGCAGCUGACUAAUCCGCAACUGACGCUCAGGCACGAAAGCGUGGGGAUCGAACAGGAUUAGAUACCCUGGUA